Long non-coding RNA from Gopherus flavomarginatus (Mexican gopher tortoise), 1525 nucleotides. RefSeq lists it as uncharacterized. Lineage: Eukaryota; Metazoa; Chordata; Testudines; Testudinidae. The record is from RefSeq and is a predicted model, not a curated record. The transcript has 3 exons.
AACCUACACAACCUAUAGAAUUCAGGAUCCCUUAUAUUUCAAUGGGACACAGACAAUAAGAAAGAAAGGGUUAACACUUUCAUGUACAUGCGCAAAAUGUAGGUAUAGAUAAACUCACAUUAUAAGAAAGGGGUGCAGGAAAAUUGAACUUCCUAUGGAAAACUCCAGCAGGAACCACUCCUGUAUUGAUGAUCAAUCCAUAAAAGGGCCAACAAACACCAUCUAGGAGAAUGACAGAUGACCCAAAUUCCUGCCUUUUGAUAUUCUGAAUAGAAACCUGAAUAGUUACACUGGGGCUCACGAUACAAAGUGCAUCCUCUGACGCAGAAAAACUACAGAGAAUUUCUAGAUGUUCCUUAGACUCAAUACUCUACUAUCAGUAGACACAUAUUCCUUCUCUUUCUGCCUCCUGGCUAUGGAGCAGAAAAAACAAACUCCCUACUACAGCACGGGAACAAAUCUACACAGACAGUGCCCUAGAGCCCCAACCAGGAGUAUUCUAUCUGCUAACCAAGAUCCAUAAACCUGGAAAUCCUGGGCACCCCAUCAUGUCAGGCAUUGGCACUCUUACAGCAGGAUUAUCUGGCUAUUUGGACUCUCUUCUCAGACCCUACACUACCAGCACUCCUAGCUAUCUUCAAGACACCACCGACUUCUUGACAAAACUACAAUGCAUUGAUGAUCUUCCUGAAAACACCAUCCUGGCCAUCCUGGAUGUAGAAGCUCUUUAUACUAAUAUUCCACAUGAGGAUGGACUACAAGCUGUCAGGAACAGUAUCUCUGAUGAGGCCAUGGCACACCUGGUGGCUGAGCUUUGUAACUUUGUCCUCACUCAUAACAAUUUCAAAUUUAGAGACAACUUAUACCUUCAAGUCAGCGGCACUGCUAUGGGUACCCACAUGGCCCCACAGUAUGACAAUGUUUUUAUGGCUGAUUUAGAACAACGCUUCCCCAGCUCUCGUCCCCUAGCACCCUCCUCUACUUGCACUACAUUGAUGAUGUCCUUGGACUGAGGGGAAGGAGGCCUGUAGCGAGGCAGUGGGAUACCCCACAGCCCCGCUGAGGGACGGACCUCCCGACAUCAACGUGGGCAGAGCCACUGGGUCCUGCACCCGCCCCUCAGAGGUCAUGGCGCAGACCUGGAAAUAUAAGAGCUCCCCUGCAGAGCUCAGUUGAGAACCAGCCACCGCAGAGACCUGACGUCUGCAGCUGAGCUCCCUCUUGGGAGACAGUAGCAGCCUGCAGCCAGCCUGAGCCUGCAGCCAGCCUGAGCCCGCACCCGGCCAGCUGAGCCUGGCCCGUGCCAGCUACCCCGAGGAGGACUGGCUGAGCCUGCCCCGUGCCAGCUACCCCUAAGAGAAGCUGAGCCUGCCCUUCACCACGUAUCCAGAGGAGCCAAUGGUGUUAGAGACAGCCGAGGACGCUAGCACGACCCAGAGCCAUCGGCCGGCGAACUAGAGCGAGGCUGUGGGAUACCCCGCAGCACCGCUGAGGGCUGAACCACGACAAAGCUGCACUACAAGGC